Molecule: non-coding RNA, 57 nt
Organism: Bos taurus (domestic cattle)
Lineage: Eukaryota; Metazoa; Chordata; Mammalia; Artiodactyla; Bovidae
Source: Rfam
UAGCUCAGUUGGUAAAGAAUCUGCCUGCAAUGCAGGAGACCCUGGUUCAAUUCCUGG